Long non-coding RNA from Setaria italica (foxtail millet), 2008 nucleotides. RefSeq lists it as uncharacterized. Lineage: Eukaryota; Viridiplantae; Streptophyta; Magnoliopsida; Poales; Poaceae. The transcript is spliced from 3 exons. The record is from RefSeq and is a predicted model, not a curated record.
GGACCUCGCUCUUCCCUAGAUCCGCCACCACCCUCCCUAACCCCACCUAUGAUCCGCUGCCGCGCUCCUCUCCUCAUCCCAUCACCACCCCUCAAACCAGCCACCCCGCGCGCCUCUUGCUCUUCCCCAAGAGCUGCCUCCAUCUCUCGCUCUUCCGUCCGCUGGUGGAGGCGUGACCCGCAGUGCGAACGGCGGUGGAUCAUACCGUCACUGCGGCGGCGGGCUAUGGCAUCUGGAUCCGCACGGCCGCUAUGUGAUGGCCCAUCGCCCUCACCUUGAUCCGCCGCCAUCGCGGCGCUGGUGAUCGGCUGAGUGCGUUUCCAUGAUUGGCAAGCGGAGAAGCAGCGGUAGCGGCACCGGAUCUGCUCAAGUUGGUUUGGCCUGCUAUCAUCUUCAUCUAAAGAACCAUAUGUCCUUCAGUUCGUUUUGCCUGCUAUCUUGAAUCGUUUCUUCAUUGUCCUUAGCUAUGUCUGUUAGGUCAUGGUUGAAAAAAAAUUAUCAAGUAUAUUACCUGUUGGAUGCAGUGAUAGUUGCUCAGUAGAUUUGUUAGAUUCUUCUUGCUGUUUAGUGUUAGAUCCUUCUCUGCUCUACCUCUGUCAGAAAGAGGAGACCAUGGGGCAUGUCUUAUUUGUUCUGUUUUUAAUGCAUCUUCUGCUAGGUACAAAAUGCUAAAUAACAGCCUUAUGCCUUCUAAUGAAUCUUUAAAAUAACAGCCUAUGAGAAUUUGAAUGGGUAGUUGACAGCUGGAACUUCUGAUGUCAAGUUAAUCUUCAGAACGUUAGCAAAGUGGUGAUAUUCCUGUUAAUAAGACCUGCCUGCUGCUUAGGUUGGCUGUGCCAUUUUAAAAGGUUAUACGACUGAAUGUCUGAAUAUUCUUAUCUGCAACAGUUUAAUUGAAAAAAAGAAGAUAGGAAAAGAGAGAGAGUAAUGUAUUGCAUUUUCAAGGAAUUUGUUGUUUGGAAGUAGUCAUGUGUAUGGUGUGUGGACUAUUGGACUGCAUGAUUUGAUUGUAUCAGGGGUGAUGUCUAAUUCAUGGGUAAAGAAAGUUGGUGGCAGGGCAGCUUGAGUCUUGAUGAUCGCUUUCAGUUGGGGUCAGUACUACUGAACAUGUACAGGUGGUGAAAUUGCAAUUGAGGCCUGUAUGUUAGAAAUUGCAACACCUGGAGGCUGGAUAUCUCUGCUCUACCGCUGUCAGAUUUUUUUAGUUGUUAGAACUAUUACAUCUAAUUUUAUCUGAGCUGAUGGCAUCAACUGCAUUUUUCUGCUAACACAUGGAUAAACAUGCUUGUGUGAAUCUUGUUGUUUCUGCAACUUGUGUUAAUUUAUUUAUUAUUCAGUCAUUCAGUGUCAAGAAUUCAAGCAAUUGAAAGUUUCCCUAUGCAUGUAAAUUUUUGCAGGGAUAAAAGUCCUAAAACCGCCUUCUCGCAAUUGAAGUGUCCGAUGAAGUAAGUUGGAGCAUGCAAAUACAAUGAAGUGUUUGAAGAAGAAAUUAUUUUCAGAUUACAACUGAGGCAAUAUGAUUUCCGUUAGCUUGGUAAUAUGAUUUCUGUUAGCUUGGAAACAGAACAUGCAAGGGACCAAGACGAGAUGAAGAUAAAGCAUACUGAGUUGGAGGCGAAACUGGAGCGUCUGCUGGGUCAAAUCUGAAAGUUGUAGGUGAAGAAAGCUGCAAGUUCAAAUAUAAAACAACCUGGUGAUGUAACUUUUUCAGGGAGAAGUGAAGCUCAAAUCUGAAAGUUGUAGGUGAAGAAAGCUGCAAGUUUAUAUUUGAAACAACCUUGUGAUGUAACUUUUCAAGGGAGAAGUGAAGCUGCGAUGGAGAGAGGCACCAGAACGGGCAAUGAAGUGUAGGUUUUAGUUGUUUGUGAAAAAAUUUAGAAAUAAUUGUAUAAUAUUGUCACUUUGUCUGUGUUUCUUUAUCAAGGCAUUGUUGAAUGAAGUACUCAGUUUCUUUUUGGUGAAGCAAAGAAUUGAUUGCCAAUGCAAUGUCAUGGAUAAUUUAUUUAGG